AAUCAUGCUCCUCUAGUACUCCAGCCACGGGCCGGGCCAACUGUGUCGGAGCGACGAACCGUACCCCAAGUUGGGCUAGACUCAGAUUACCUGGUCCCAUGCGACGAGCCCAUGUCCAGCCAGCGGUUGCCGGUUGUGACCGUCGUCGUUGGAAGGCGACGCGAAGCGGCAGUGCAGUGCUCGUCUUCGUCGGCGCGUCGCCGUCCGGAGGGCGGAGGCCAAAGCUUGUACUUGUCUUCGGCGGAGGGGAUUCUGAAAUCGAGGUGCGCAACUAGGAGAGCCAGUUGCCACGGUUGCGCUUUUGCUCAUCAUCGGAGGCGGUUGAAGUGUCGAUGUUUCUGUGCCUUCCUGGGGGUAUUCUGGAGGAUCAUAGCUGACAACUGCUUGUGAUUGCAAACACAGCCAAACUUGUCGGCAUUAGGACCCUUGGUGGAUGAAUGGGGUCUGCAUUAGAAAGUCAAGGAGAACAGGGCUCUUGCACUGGGGGCACCGAGGGUCAUCUUGUGGGAGCAUGACGUAGAUGAAGCAGCGAGGACAGGCAGCAAGAACCAUGGAUGUGGCCUCAGGGCUGUUGGACCACUGCAGGCCAUGCUCGUUCUCUGACGAUAGGCAGGAGCUCGGGGAUGACUCCUCAUCAGCCAUCGCCCUCCUGGAGGAGUCCCCUGUUGCAGGAAGUGAGAGGUUCAGUUUCAGGUCAAGGCCCCUAGAGCUCUUCCUGUUGCUGCGGCUCAUCCUUUGGAGGUAUGUGCUGUCUGCAUCCAUCAAACGUUGGAUCAGCUGAUUGAGAUACACACUUCAGGAUGGAUGCUAUACUGUCACGAGGAUUAGAUGCCUAGAUACAGAUAGUGAGGGGACUUACUGUUUUGCAGAGUGACGAGGCGCUGGAUGCAAGCAGGUGGAGAUGAGAGCGAUGUGAAAUGCUCUGGAAGGAGAGGGCUAUGAGCUUUAGAAUGCUCAGAGGUGUUUCUCUGGUGUUGCUGGAGAAGGGAUAGAUGGUAUUUAUAGGGGGUGAGGAUGGGAGGUCAAUUGGUUUUCUUUAAUGUGACAUAAGAGCUACGCUCCCAUUUAAUUAUUACUCACUACUAUCUCAUAGUAGUAGCAAUAGUACAAUUGUACGCAUUUUAUUGCCUAUCA
This is a long non-coding RNA of Zea mays, 1134 nucleotides long. RefSeq lists it as uncharacterized. The record is from RefSeq and is a predicted model, not a curated record. Lineage: Eukaryota; Viridiplantae; Streptophyta; Magnoliopsida; Poales; Poaceae. The transcript is spliced from 3 exons.